This 441-nucleotide ribosomal RNA is filed under the name uncultured Campylobacter sp. RNAcentral describes it as "bacterial SSU rRNA". It matches the Rfam family "Bacterial small subunit ribosomal RNA", at positions 338 to 795 of the family's 1533-position model. Lineage: Bacteria; Pseudomonadati; Campylobacterota; Epsilonproteobacteria; Campylobacterales; Campylobacteraceae. The record is from RNAcentral.
CCUACGGGUGGCAGCAGUAGGGAAUAUUGCUCAAUGGGGGAAACCCUGAAGCAGCAACGCCGCGUGGAGGAUGACACUUUUCGGAGCGUAAACUCCUUUUCUUGGGAAAGAAUUAUGACGGUACCCAAGGAAUAAGCACCGGCUAACUCCGUGCCAGCAGCCGCGGUAAUACGGAGGGUGCAAGCGUUACUCGGAAUCACUGGGCGUAAAGGACGCGUAGGCGGAUUAUCAAGUCUCUUGUGAAAUCUAACGGCUUAACCGUUAAACUGCUUGGGAAACUGAUAAUCUAGAGUAAGGGAGAGGCAGAUGGAAUUCUUGGUGUAGGGGUAAAAUCCGUAGAGAUCAAGAAGAAUACCCAUUGCGAAAGCGAUCUGCUGGAACUUAACUGACGCUAAUGCGUGAAAGCGUGGGGAGCAAACAGGAUUAGAUACCCGGGUAGUC